This 563-nucleotide ribosomal RNA is filed under the name uncultured bacterium. Its description in RNAcentral is "bacterial SSU rRNA". It matches the Rfam family "Bacterial small subunit ribosomal RNA", at positions 45 to 584 of the family's 1533-position model. The record is from RNAcentral.
AGCUUACCAUGCAAGUCGAACGGGGCAUCUUAUUUCGGUAAGAUGCCAAGUGGCGAACGGGUGAGUAACACGUGGGCAACCUGCCCUUCAGACGGGGACAACAUUCCGAAAGGAGUGCUAAUACCGGAUACGCCCGCACCUACGCAUGUAGGUGCGGGGAAAGGAUGGCCUCUAUUUAUAAGCUAUCGCUGAAGGAUGGGCCUGCGUCCGAUUAGCUAGUUGGUGAGGUAACGGCCCACCAAGGCGAUGAUCGGUAGCCGGUCUGAGAGGAUGAACGGCCACAUUGGGACUGAGACACGGCCCAGACUCCUACGGGAGGCAGCAGUGGGGAAUCUUCCACAAUGGACGAAAGUCUGAUGGAGCAACGCCGCGUGAGCGAUGAAGGAUUUCGGUCUGUAAAACUCUGUUGUUCAUGACGAACGUUUCCUAGGUGAAUAAUCUAGGGGAGUGACGGUAGUGAACGAGGAAGCCACGGCUAACUACGUGCCAGCAGCCGCGGUAAUACGUAGGUGGCGAGCGUUGUCCGGAAUUAUUGGGCGUAAAGAGCAUGUAGGCGGCUUUUU